This is a long non-coding RNA of Zalophus californianus (California sea lion), 633 nucleotides long. RefSeq lists it as uncharacterized. The record is from RefSeq and is a predicted model, not a curated record. NCBI's taxonomy places the organism in Eukaryota, Metazoa, Chordata, Mammalia, Carnivora, Otariidae. The transcript is spliced from 4 exons.
GUGCAUGCAUGAGUUUUCCAAGGGAAUCCCAAGUCAGAAAGGCUACGUUGCAGGAAGUCCAAUGUAUGUGCUGCAGGUCCUAGACAAGACAUUACUGAUUUCACCAAAGUCUGCCUGGAAUCAGCUGUGACAACGAAGGGUUAUCUCUUUAUGGCAAGUGAAGAAAGGGGCUGAUUUUAGUUUUUGGAGCCCAAGGCAACACAAAGCUGAAUGGUUUUCUGCAAGUCACCACCGGACAGGAGAGACAGGACUGAUGACAAUGUAAACAUUUGGAAUUAGGACAACGUACAAGAUUAGGGCUGACCAGCCCCUGGACUACGCCAUAUGUGCAUAUACAGGCUCCUAGGAUGAACAUCCUCGAAUCCUAACCUCUCUCCCAGAAGCUGGGCCUCCCACCAGUGCCCGGCUCUUCUCUCAGCAAAACCGCAUUUGCCAAGACUACUCUCAACUGAAUCCCAGCUCAGAGAGGCAGCUGCUGGGUCUCAGACAUCAGCGUCCAGGGUAUCUCAGGACUCUUGGCUCUCCACUAAUGAAAAACGGUAUCUCUCAUAUGGCUUAAUGUGAUCCGUUCUCAACAGACUCUUUUUUCAGUCAGUCUUUGGCACCCUACGGAGAUGGUCAUCCUUUGUCCCC